This 279-nucleotide ribosomal RNA is filed under the name uncultured bacterium. RNAcentral describes it as "partial 16S ribosomal RNA". It matches the Rfam family "Bacterial small subunit ribosomal RNA", at positions 506 to 784 of the family's 1533-position model. The record is from RNAcentral.
UGCCAGCCGCCGCGGUAACACGGGGGGCGCAAGCGUUAUUCGGAAUUAUUGGGCGUAAAGGGCGCGCAGGCGGUCUUGUCCGUCAGGUGUGAAAGCUCGGGGCUCAACCCCGGAAGUGCACUUGAAACAGCAAGACUUGAAUACGGUAGAGGAGAGAGGAAUUCCUGGUGUAGAGGUGAAAUUCGUAGAUAUUAGGAAGAACACCGGUGGCGAAGGCGACUCUCUGGUCCGAUACUGACGCUGAGGUGCGAAAGCGUGGGGAGCAAACAGGAUUAGAUA